RNAcentral lists this ribosomal RNA (492 nucleotides) under uncultured bacterium. Its description in RNAcentral is "partial 16S ribosomal RNA". It matches the Rfam family "Bacterial small subunit ribosomal RNA", at positions 29 to 507 of the family's 1533-position model. The record is from RNAcentral.
AGUGAACGCUGGCGGUAGGCCUAACACAUGCAAGUCGAACGGCAGCACAGUAAGAGCUUGCUCUUACGGGUGGCGAGUGGCGGACGGGUGAGGAAUACAUCGGAAUCUACUUUUUCGUGGGGGAUAACGUAGGGAAACUUACGCUAGUACCGCAUACGACCUACGGGUGAAAGCAGGGGAUCUUCGGACCUUGCGCGAUUGAAUGAGCCGAUGUCGGAUUAGCUAGUUGGCGGGGUAAAGGCCCACCAAGGCGACGAUCCGUAGCUGGUCUGAGAGACUGGUCAGCCACACUGGAACUGAGACACGGUCCAGACUCCUACGGGAGGCAGCAGUGGGGAAUAUGGGACAAUGGGCGCAAGCCUGAUCCAGCCAUACCGCGUGGGUGAAGAAGGCCUUCGGGUUGUAAAGCCCUUUUGUUGGGAAAGAAAAGCAGCAGGUUAAUACCCCGCUGUUCUGACGGUACCCAAAGAAUAAGCACCGGCUAACUUCGUG